Molecule: ribosomal RNA, 511 nt
Filed under: uncultured bacterium
Lineage: Bacteria
Description: partial 16S ribosomal RNA
Source: RNAcentral
GGAGUUAGCCGGUGCUUCUUCUGAGAGUAACGUCACAGAUGUAAGGUAUUAACUUACACCCUUUCCUCCUCGCUGAAAGUGCUUUACAACCCGAAGGCCUUCUUCACACACGCGGCAUGGCUGCAUCAGGGUUUCCCCCAUUGUGCAAUAUUCCCCACUGCUGCCUCCCGUAGGAGUCUGGGCCGUGUCUCAGUCCCAGUGUGGCUGAUCAUCCUCUCAGACCAGCUAGGGAUCGUCGCCUAGGUGAGCCUUUACCUCACCUACUAGCUAAUCCCACCUGGGCUUAUCCAUCAGCGCAAGGCCCGAAGGUCCCCUGCUUUCCCCCGUAGGGCGUAUGCGGUAUUAGCAGUCGUUUCCAACUGUUAUCCCCCACAAAUGGGCAAAUUCCCAGGCAUUACUCACCCGUCCGCCGCUCGUCAUCUUCAAAAGCAAGCUUUUGAAAUGUUACCGCUCGACUUGCAUGUGUUAGGCCUGCCGCCAGCGUUCAAUCUGAGCCAGAAUCAAACUCUGA